AACGCGAAGAACCUUACCUGGGUUUGACAUGGAUCGGGAGUGCUCAGAGAUGGGUGUGCCUCUUUUGGGGUCGGUUCACAGGUGGUGCAUGGCUGUCGUCAGCUCGUGUCGUGAGAUGUUGGGUUAAGUCCCGCAACGAGCGCAACCCUUGUUCACUGUUGCCAGCACGUUAUGGUGGGGACUCAGUGGAGACCGCCGGGGUCAACUCGGAGGAAGGUGGGGAUGACGUCAAGUCAUCAUGCCCCUUAUGUCCAGGGCUUCACGCAUGCUACAAUGGCUGGUACAGAGAGUGGCGAGCCUGUGAGGGUGAGCGAAUCUCGGAAAGCCGGUCUCAGUUCGGAUUGGGGUCUGCAACUCGACCUCAUGAAGUCGGAGUCGCUAGUAAUCGCAGAUCAGCAACGCUGCGGUGAAUACGUUCCCGGGUCUUGUACACACCG
This 437-nucleotide ribosomal RNA is filed under the name uncultured Propionibacterium sp. RNAcentral describes it as "bacterial SSU rRNA". It matches the Rfam family "Bacterial small subunit ribosomal RNA", at positions 958 to 1392 of the family's 1533-position model. Lineage: Bacteria; Bacillati; Actinomycetota; Actinomycetes; Propionibacteriales; Propionibacteriaceae. The record is from RNAcentral.